Molecule: ribosomal RNA, 17 nt
Filed under: Mycolicibacterium smegmatis
Lineage: Bacteria; Bacillati; Actinomycetota; Actinomycetes; Mycobacteriales; Mycobacteriaceae
Description: partial 16S ribosomal RNA
Source: RNAcentral
UUUGUUUGGAGAGUUUG